Molecule: ribosomal RNA, 468 nt
Filed under: uncultured bacterium
Lineage: Bacteria
Description: partial 16S ribosomal RNA
Rfam family: Bacterial small subunit ribosomal RNA
Source: RNAcentral
GACGAACGCUGGCGGCGUGCUUAACACAUGCAAGUCGAACGGAAAGGCCCUGCUUUUGUGGGGUGCUCGAGUGGCGAACGGGUGAGUAACACGUGAGUAUCCUGCCCUUGACUUUGGGAUAACUUCAGGAAACUGGGGCUAAUACCGGAUAGGAGCUCCUGCUGCAUGGUGGGGGUUGGAAAGUUUCGGCGGUUGGGGCUGGACUCGCGGCUUAUCAGCUUGUUGGUGGGGUAGUGGCUUACCAAGGCUUUGACGGGUAGCCGGCCUGAGAGGGUGACCGGCCACAAUGGGACUGAGAGACGGACCAGACGGCAACGGGAGGCAGCAGUGGGGAGUAUGACACAGUGGGCGGAAGCGUGAUGCAGAAACGCCGCGUGCGGGAUGACGGCUUUCGGGGUGUAAACCGCUUUGGCCGGUGACGAAGAGUGAGUGACGGUAAUGGGUAAAGAAGCACCGGCUAACUACGUG